Molecule: ribosomal RNA, 914 nt
Filed under: Escherichia coli
Lineage: Bacteria; Pseudomonadati; Pseudomonadota; Gammaproteobacteria; Enterobacterales; Enterobacteriaceae
Description: partial 23S ribosomal RNA
Rfam family: Bacterial large subunit ribosomal RNA
Source: RNAcentral
CAGUGAAAUUGAACUCGCUGUGAAGAUGCAGUGUACCCGCGGCAAGACGGAAAGACCCCGUGAACCUUUACUAUAGCUUGACACUGAACAUUGAGCCUUGAUGUGUAGGAUAGGUGGGAGGCUUUGAAGUGUGGACGCCAGUCUGCAUGGAGCCGACCUUGAAAUACCACCCUUUAAUGUUUGAUGUUCUAACGUUGACCCGUGAUCCGGGUUGCGGACAGUGUCUGGUGGGUAGUUUGACUGGGGCGGUCUCCUCCUAAAGAGUAACGGAGGAGCACGAAGGUUGGCUAAUCCUGGUCGGACAUCAGGAGGUUAGUGCAAUGGCAUAAGCCAGCUUGACUGCGAGCGUGACGGCGCGAGCAGGUGCGAAAGCAGGUCAUAGUGAUCCGGUGGUUCUGAAUGGAAGGGCCAUCGCUCAACGGAUAAAAGGUACUCCGGGGAUAACAGGCUGAUACCGCCCAAGAGUUCAUAUCGACGGCGGUGUUUGGCACCUCGAUGUCGGCUCAUCACAUCCUGGGGCUGAAGUAGGUCCCAAGGGUAUGGCUGUUCGCCAUUUAAAGUGGUACGCGAGCUGGGUUUAGAACGUCGUGAGACAGUUCGGUCCCUAUCUGCCGUGGGCGCUGGAGAACUGAGGGGGGCUGCUCCUAGUACGAGAGGACCGGAGUGGACGCAUCACUGGUGUUCGGGUUGUCAUGCCAAUGGCACUGCCCGGUAGCUAAAUGCGGAAGAGAUAAGUGCUGAAAGCAUCUAAGCACGAAACUUGCCCCGAGAUGAGUUCUCCCUGACUCCUUGAGAGUCCUGAAGGAACGUUGAAGACGACGACGUUGAUAGGCCGGGUGUGUAAGCGCAGCGAUGCGUUGAGCUAACCGGUACUAAUGAACCGUGAGGCUUAACCUUACAACGCCGAAGCUGUU